RNAcentral lists this long non-coding RNA (585 nucleotides) under Nicotiana benthamiana. RNAcentral's name for it is "long non-coding RNA (NBEN_LNC037188)". The record is from RNAcentral. Lineage: Eukaryota; Viridiplantae; Streptophyta; Magnoliopsida; Solanales; Solanaceae.
AAAUUCGGCUUUCACGAGCUCUCACCACGAUUAUAACUUCUCACCCACGAAUUUCUCUUUCCUACAUUCUCUGUAACAUGAUUUCACAGUUUUCUCAAUUAAGUUUUCUAUUUUUACAAUAUAUACUUCUAUUCUUUCUCCCUCUUCUGUAUAUCGAACAUCAAUUGUCGGGUGCAAGAGGUGAUCGGUAUGCUUUGUAUUUCAUAAACAAUCUUUAUUAUAGUUGAGAUUGUAUUUCUUGAUAGAUUUUUCUGUGAAGUUUGCUGACGGCGUAACUCCUAUGGCUACUGUUGUUUACCAAUCUUAGAAUUAUACCACACUUUCUUGCUUAUGAUUUUUUGGAGAACCGUCAGCAAAAAGUCUAUUAUUUCACAUGAUCUGUUGCUUCAUAUGUGUUUCAAUAAGUAUUUUGUUGCAGUUUGUACUAAUAUUUAUGAAUACCUCUGUCUAUUUUCAGAACUUACAGUUUCUUUCAAAAAAAGGCAUACGAAUGCAACUUCACUGAUCCUUCUUCAUGGAAAAACAAAAAACACCCCUUUCCGGACCAAGUAGAAACAAUAUACAAAAUCAGAAACGGUGCAAAAG